RNAcentral lists this ribosomal RNA (202 nucleotides) under Clostridioides difficile. Its description in RNAcentral is "partial 16S ribosomal RNA". It matches the Rfam family "Bacterial small subunit ribosomal RNA", at positions 197 to 401 of the family's 1533-position model. The record is from RNAcentral. Lineage: Bacteria; Bacillati; Bacillota; Clostridia; Peptostreptococcales; Peptostreptococcaceae.
AAUAUCAAAGGUGAGCCAGUACAGGAUGGACCCGCGUCUGAUUAGCUAGUUGGUAAGGUAACGGCUUACCAAGGCGACGAUCAGUAGCCGACCUGCGAGGGUGAUCGGCCACAUUGGAACUGAGACACGGUCCACACUCCUACGGGAGGCAGCAGUGGGGAAUAUUGCACAAUGGGCGAAAGCCUGAUGCAGCUACGCCGCG